GAUGAACGCUGGCGGCGUGCCUAAUACAUGCAAGUCGAGCGAACAGACGAGGAGCUUGCUCCUCUGACGUUAGCGGCGGACGGGUGAGUAACACAUGGGUAACCUACCUAUAAGACUGGGAUAACUUCGGGAAACCGGAGCUAAUACCGGAUAAUAUAUUGAACCGCAUGGUUCAAUAGUGAAAGACGGUUUUGCUGUCACUUAUAGAUGGAUCCGCGCCGCAUUAGCUAGUUGGUAAGGUAACGGCCUACCAAGGCAACGAUGCGUAGCCGACCUGAGAGGGUGAUCGGCCACACUGGAACUGAGACACGGUCCAGACUCCUACGGGAGGCAGCAGUAGGGAAUCUUCCGCAAUGGGCGAAAGCCUGACGGAGCAACGCCGCGUGAGUGAUGAAGGUCUUCGGAUCGUAAAACUCUGUUAUUAGGGAAGAACAAAUGUGUAAGUAACUGUGCACGUCUUGACGGUACCUAAUCAGAAAGCCACGGCUAACUACGUG
This 497-nucleotide ribosomal RNA is filed under the name uncultured bacterium. RNAcentral's name for it is "partial 16S ribosomal RNA". It matches the Rfam family "Bacterial small subunit ribosomal RNA", at positions 28 to 507 of the family's 1533-position model. The record is from RNAcentral.